CGGGAAGAGCUCAAAUUUUAAAUCUGACAGUUUCAAACUGUUUGAGUUGUAAUCUAGAGAAGUGUUAUCCGUGCUAGACCAUGUACAAGUCUUCUGGAACGAAGCAUCACAGAGGGUGAUAAUCCCGUAUCUGACAUGGACUACUAGUGCUUUGUGAUGCGCUCUCAAA
This 169-nucleotide ribosomal RNA is filed under the name Pouzarella sp. RNAcentral describes it as "partial large subunit ribosomal RNA". It matches the Rfam family "Eukaryotic large subunit ribosomal RNA", at positions 99 to 261 of the family's 3401-position model. Lineage: Eukaryota; Fungi; Basidiomycota; Agaricomycetes; Agaricales; Entolomataceae. The record is from RNAcentral.